This 72-nucleotide transfer RNA is filed under the name Bos taurus (domestic cattle). It matches the Rfam family "tRNA". From Rfam's summary of the family: Transfer RNA (tRNA) molecules are approximately 80 nucleotides in length. Their secondary structure includes four short double-helical elements and three loops (D, anti-codon, and T loops). Lineage: Eukaryota; Metazoa; Chordata; Mammalia; Artiodactyla; Bovidae. The record is from Rfam by way of RNAcentral. RNAcentral also lists the same sequence under 2 other names.
UCCCUGGUGACUCAGAUGGUAAAGCGCCUGCCUGCAAUGCAGGAGUCCCAGGUUUGAUCCCUGGGUUGGGAA